UUUCCUACGGGGCGCAGCAGUGGGGAAUAUUGGACAAUGGGGGGAACCCUGAUCCAGCGACGCCGCGUGAGUGAAGAAGUAUUUCGGUAUGUAAAGCUCUAUCAGCAGGGAAGAAAGAAAUGACGGUACCUGACUAAGAAGCCCCGGCUAACUACGUGCCAGCAGCCGCGGUAAUACGUAGGGGGCAAGCGUUAUCCGGAUUUACUGGGUGUAAAGGGAGCGUAGGCGGUUUAGCAAGUCAGAAGUGAAAGCCCGGGGCUCAACUCCGGGACUGCUUUUGAAACUGUUGAACUAGAUUGCAGGAG
RNAcentral lists this ribosomal RNA (305 nucleotides) under uncultured bacterium. Its description in RNAcentral is "bacterial SSU rRNA". It matches the Rfam family "Bacterial small subunit ribosomal RNA", at positions 335 to 654 of the family's 1533-position model. The record is from RNAcentral.